UGGUUCAGUGGUAGAAUUCUCGC
Molecule: non-coding RNA, 23 nt
Filed under: Drosophila melanogaster (fruit fly)
Lineage: Eukaryota; Metazoa; Arthropoda; Insecta; Diptera; Drosophilidae
Also listed under: 2 other names
Source: RNAcentral